ACAAAGUGGAGAAAUAGUUCAGCUAGGCUAAUGCUCUAUCCCUGCUCAUGUCAUGUCAUUUGCACUUUUCUUUUCCUUUUUUCCCUUCUUUUUCUUCU
RNAcentral lists this non-coding RNA (98 nucleotides) under Heterosigma akashiwo. Lineage: Eukaryota; Raphidophyceae; Chattonellales; Chattonellaceae. The record is from RNAcentral.